Molecule: transfer RNA, 75 nt
Filed under: Hadesarchaea archaeon DG-33
Lineage: Archaea; Methanobacteriati; Hadarchaeota (SeqCode); Hadarchaeia (SeqCode)
Also listed under: 1 other name
Description: tRNA-Val
Rfam family: tRNA
About the family: Transfer RNA (tRNA) molecules are approximately 80 nucleotides in length. Their secondary structure includes four short double-helical elements and three loops (D, anti-codon, and T loops). Further hydrogen bonds mediate the characteristic L-shaped molecular structure. tRNAs have two regions of fundamental functional importance: the anti-codon, which is responsible for specific mRNA codon recognition, and the 3' end, to which the tRNAs corresponding amino acid is attached (by aminoacyl-tRNA synthetases). tRNAs cope with the degeneracy of the genetic code in two manners: having more than one tRNA (with a specific anti-codon) for a particular amino acid; and 'wobble' base-pairing, i.e. permitting non-standard base-pairing at the 3rd anti-codon position.
Source: RNAcentral
GGGCCCGUGGUCCAGUGGUUAAGACGCCACCCUCACACGGUGGUUACCGGGGUUCGAAUCCCCGCGGGCCCACCA